This 450-nucleotide long non-coding RNA is filed under the name Dunaliella salina. Its description in RNAcentral is "long non-coding RNA (DSAL_LNC000285)". The record is from RNAcentral. Lineage: Eukaryota; Viridiplantae; Chlorophyta; Chlorophyceae; Chlamydomonadales; Dunaliellaceae.
UUCCUUGACCCGCCAACUUGCCCCUGGACCAGUUUCCCCUGGACCCCUUUCCCCUGGGCCUCUCCUUUCUCCUGCUGCCCCCCCUCUGUGCUUGCAUGCGCAGCCAUGGGCGUAGGUGCUGCUGCUGUCUCCUGCUGCUGCCCCCCCUCUGCGCCUGCAGGCAACGCUGCUGUGCUUGCAUGCGUAGCCAUGGGUGUAGGUGCAGUUGCUGUCUCCUGCUGCUUCCCCCCCUCUGUGCCUGCAGGCAACGCUACUGGGCUUGCAUGCGCAGCCAUGGGCGUAGGUGCUGCUGCUGUCUCCUGCUGCUGCCCCCCCUCUGUGCCUGCAGGCAACGCUUCUGUGCUUGCAUGCACAGCCAUGGGUAUAGCCGCUACUGAGGCUGCUGCUGCUAUCUCCUGCUGCUGCCCUCCUGGGCUUGCAGGCCUGCCUUGUGUGCUUGCAUGGGCAAGG